This 26-nucleotide non-coding RNA is filed under the name Mus musculus (house mouse). The record is from RNAcentral. Lineage: Eukaryota; Metazoa; Chordata; Mammalia; Rodentia; Muridae.
UACACAGUUGAUACAAUGAGAUAUGU